AUUGAACGCUGGCGGCAUGCUUUACACAUGCAAGUCGAGCGGCAGCGCGGGGGCAACCCUGGCGGCGGGCGGCGAACGGGUGAGUAAUGCAUCGGAACGUAUCCUCGAGUGGGGGAUAACCCAGCGAAAGUUGGGCUAAUACCGCAUGAGCUCUGAGGAGGAAAGCGGGGGACCUGCGAGGGCCUCGCGCUGGAGGAGCGGCCGAUGUCCGAUUAGCUAGUUGGUGGGGUAAAGGCUUACCAAGGCGACGAUCGGUAGCUGGUCUGAGAGGAUGAUCAGCCACACUGGGACUGAGACACGGCCCAGACUCCUACGGGAGGCAGCAGUGGGGAAUUUUGGACAAUGGGGGCAACCCUGAUCCAGCCAUGCCGCGUGAGUGAAGAAGGCCUUCGGGUUGUAAAGCUCUUUCGGACGGAACGAAAUGGGCGGGACUAAUACUCCUGUCUGAUGACGGUACCGUAAGAAGAAGCACCGGCUAACUACGUG
This 486-nucleotide ribosomal RNA is filed under the name uncultured bacterium. Its description in RNAcentral is "partial 16S ribosomal RNA". It matches the Rfam family "Bacterial small subunit ribosomal RNA", at positions 29 to 507 of the family's 1533-position model. The record is from RNAcentral.